CCUACGGGGCGCAGCAGUGGGGAAUAUUGCACAAUGGGGGAAACCCUGAUGCAGCGACGCCGCGUGAGUGAAGAAGUAUUUCGGUAUGUAAAGCUCUAUCAGCAGGGAAGAAAUAGCGACCUUUGGGUCGCCAGACGGUACCUGACUAAGAAGCCCCGGCUAACUACGUGCCAGCAGCCGCGGUAAUACGUAGGGGGCAAGCGUUAUCCGGAUUUACUGGGUGUAAAGGGAGCGUAGACGGCAGCACAAGUCUGAAGUGAAAUGCCGGGGCUUAACCCCGGAACUGCUUUGGAAACUGUGCAGCU
This 305-nucleotide ribosomal RNA is filed under the name uncultured bacterium. RNAcentral's name for it is "bacterial SSU rRNA". It matches the Rfam family "Bacterial small subunit ribosomal RNA", at positions 338 to 642 of the family's 1533-position model. The record is from RNAcentral.